Molecule: long non-coding RNA, 1048 nt
Filed under: Helianthus annuus (common sunflower)
Lineage: Eukaryota; Viridiplantae; Streptophyta; Magnoliopsida; Asterales; Asteraceae
Source: RNAcentral
ACACAUACAGUUCCACAACAUUCUCUCUCGUCUGAUUAUACACACCAACAUAUACAGAUUUUCUUUGAAAAUCUUACAAAGGCUCCAUGAAAAUCUUACCUGUGAAGUAUAAUAUGUGCAUACACACACUUCACAACACAACCUCCACAUAUCAAACCUCUCGAUUACUACAUAAAGACAAUCAAAAGCAUAAAUCCUCACCAGUACCUCUCUCUCCCUCUCGUUCAGCUGGUUAAGACGACCAGAGCCGGAACCGGCACCGAUGCCGGUGGAUUUUCAGGCGAGACACCCCUGGUUCUCGAGAACACACGGUCAGCCACCGUGAUGGUGGCUGCGCACAGCUGUAGCGACGGACAAAGAUAGGGAGAUGAAGAGAGUGAGAAACAGAGCCGGCGCCGCCGCUCAAGACGACGACAGUGGAGGCGACGACGGUGGUUGUUAUUCUCCGGCAAGUAUCCUGGCGAAAUGAUGAUGAAAAUGAUGGACGGCACGGUCACCGGAGCGACGGACGAAGACGGGGGUAGUAACGAUGAUUUGAGUUUGGUUCGGGUUUCAGCUAUGUUUGGUUCGUGUUGGGUGUCUCGGCUUAGAGACUAGUCAACCAGUCAACCGCAGUCAAACGGUUCAGUGGGUUUCUGGGUAUGGUUCGACCCCUGUGCGGGUUCGUUUCGGGUCAGAUUAUAGCUCGGGUCAACAGCAGGUCAAUCGCGGUCAACAGUCAACGGUUCGGUUUCAGUUUCACUCCGGUCAGAUUUGGGUUUCGUUUCGACAGUCAAAGCCAGUCAAACAUGGUCAAAGGUAGUUAACAGGACGGCUCGGGUCAGCCUUAAUACUCUCGGUCAACUCAGUCUAACCCAGUUGACUCGGUCAAACCCGAGUCAACUCGGGUCAACAGCAGUCAACGCCCGGUCAACACGAAGGACGCGGAAUGCUAUAGUUGCACCCUAGCGAGUCACGUUCUUGGAACGACAUCACAGAAACACCUAAGCUAGCUAUGCACAGGAAUAUCCAGGUUGCAUUUUCAAUCUAUGGAACGGUUGGAAUAGGA